CUUCAGAAGCUUUUUAAUUUCAUUAGGCUUACAGGUGUGCUUCUCAUGGAUAACCACAAAUGCGCUGCAGCCUUCUGGUGGAGGUUCAUCAGCUGCAAUCUGUUGAAACAUCUGAACAGUUGGAGAAUAUGCCCGUAUGGAAAGUGCAAACUUCAACAGAUUGAUUUGGAAAUUGGAUAAAAAUUGUCCUGCUUUCUUCAAGAUUAAAUUGUAAUACGAGUAGUCUGUAUCUCCUUGCUUAUAAAUUGUUAAUUCUCGUACAGUUUCCAAGAACUGCCAAAACUUCUCAUUACCAUCUUCUGCAAUAAAUUCACUCGCCUCCAGCAGCAGUGGGGUCGCCGGCCAUUUCGCCGCCAGCCGGGCCGUCACGGCCGGGGAGGAGGCCGGAUCCCCGCGGCAGGGACACGGCCGCACCCGCAGGAGGACCAGAAGGGCGAGCAGCAGCCAUAACAUAGCGCGAACCACACUCGGACAAUCACCACCCACGCAGCUCCCGCUGCCC
Molecule: long non-coding RNA, 502 nt
Filed under: Gallus gallus (chicken)
Lineage: Eukaryota; Metazoa; Chordata; Aves; Galliformes; Phasianidae
Source: RNAcentral